AAGAACAAGGGAAUCCAUCGGAUCCGCCUCCACUUCUACCCCUUCUCCACCCCGGAGUACGACCUCUCCUCCGCUCGCUUCCACGUUUUGGCCUCGGAUAUUACCCUACUGUCCUAUUUCGGCACCUCGAGCCCUGUGAUGAAGGAGUACUUCAUCAACCUGAAUGAAGGGAAGCUCGUAAUAUCGUUUUCUCCGGCGGACAGGUCCUCCUUUGCCUUUGUAAACGCCAUCGAAGUCAUGUCAGCUCCGAAAGAUCUCAUUUUGGACGCUGGAAGGUUAGUAAAACCCGAUGAAAUUACGGAAUUUCAUGGGCUUUCGAAACAGGCUUUGGAAACACUCUAUAGGGUUA
RNAcentral lists this long non-coding RNA (349 nucleotides) under Musa acuminata (dwarf banana). RNAcentral describes it as "long non-coding RNA (MACU_LNC006372)". Lineage: Eukaryota; Viridiplantae; Streptophyta; Magnoliopsida; Zingiberales; Musaceae. The record is from RNAcentral.